CCUACGGGAGGCAGCAGUGGGGAAUUUUGCGCAAUGGGGGAAACCCUGACGCAGCAACGCCGCGUGAGUGAUGAAGGCCUUCGGGUCGUAAAGCUCUGUCAGAGGGGAAGAAGUGCAGGGGCGCUAAUAUCGCUUUUGCUUGACGGUACCCUCAAAGGAAGCACCGGCUAACUCCGUGCCAGCAGCCGCGGUAAU
Molecule: ribosomal RNA, 195 nt
Filed under: uncultured bacterium
Lineage: Bacteria
Description: partial 16S ribosomal RNA
Rfam family: Bacterial small subunit ribosomal RNA
Source: RNAcentral